GACCGGGGCGUGCACAAGGCGGGGGCCCAGGCUGGGUGAGGGAGACAUGGAGAGGACUCGACAGCAGUGGCGCCCAAGCAUCCCGGAAAGGCUUAGGAAAGUGUCCCUGGGGCAGGAAACUGCAGGUGCCGAGCCCUCAGGUCCAUUGCUGUAAACUGAGGACAAAGCCUUACCUAUUGCUCUGAAGAGGCUGUCGUGGCUUCUAAGCAGUGGCUCUGUCGCCCUCUCUCUGGGCCCAUCAUGAAGGAGGUCAGACAGCAUUCCUGACAGUCCAGAGGCUGGAGCGUGCGUACCAGGACUGUCCUCUCCCGCUGUCUCUGGCUUCUGGAUGCAGCAGUGAGCCCUUCAGGAAAAAGCAAGAGAUGGGACGCAGCUUAGAGCGGCCUCUGGAAGGUGGGGCUCGGGCCUGGCCCCCUCGAACCUGCAGCGUGACCUGGAGCUCGUCCCUUCCUGCCCUGGGCCUCAGUUUCUCCAGUUGUACAGUGAGGGUGUGGGGCUGGACAUCCUCCAUGCCCUGGAAGGGGCCUUUCUGUGUGUCAUCCUGUUAGUAACGGUUUAGCUCCGAGCCUAUAAUCACAUCUGCCCUGGGAAGAACUAACACAGCGUUUCUUUAAAUUGGGCUCUAAU
Molecule: long non-coding RNA, 627 nt
Organism: Hyaena hyaena (striped hyena)
Lineage: Eukaryota; Metazoa; Chordata; Mammalia; Carnivora; Hyaenidae
Exons: 4
Source: RefSeq, a predicted model, not a curated record